Molecule: long non-coding RNA, 1919 nt
Filed under: Equus asinus (donkey)
Lineage: Eukaryota; Metazoa; Chordata; Mammalia; Perissodactyla; Equidae
Description: lncRNA (ENSEASG00005031689.1)
Source: RNAcentral
UGAGCAUAGCACGUAGCAUACUAUCCUCUUUUAGAGGGGUAGAGCCCUGUAAUUGGCACAGUAGACUUUUAUAUUAUUUUCAAAUUAAGUUUUAAGGAGUUCUCUUUAUUUGCUAAGUUUGUAUGUGUGUGAAGCAUAUAUAUUUGAAUGUCUGAAUUUCUUUGGAAGAUCCUUGAUUUAUUUCACACAGAAAUUUUUUUCUCCAUUCUCAAAUCUAUGACAUAUGCCCUAUGUUCCAGUACUUUGCUUUGUACAAUUUCCUGUAAACAGCAGUAGGCAACUUCAAUAUACACUGGCUGGUUGGUUCAGUGUUCUUGCAGUACUUACAAUGGACAUUUCUGAGCAUAACUAAUCUCUUUUUUUUUUUUAUUUUGGUCCUAUUCGCAUCAGCACCAAUCCAGUGCUUUGAAAUGAAUUCAAAUGCUGUGCUCUUUGAAGGGAUGAGGAUUAAAGCUUAAGCUGGGUCCAGGGAUGAGGUGAGAGGAAAAAACCCUCACAAAUCCGAUGCUUUUUUUCCUCCUAAGAAGUGAAAAGCAAUGAGCUGUACUAUAUAAAAGAAAGGAAACGGCCAUUAGCCCGAGGGGAGGUCCUGAGUCGUCCAAAGGUUCUCCAGCGGGCAAGCAAGAAAGACAGCACUCCUGCCCCGAUCCGUACACACUGGAGCAUCCAGACUGACUAAUGAACAGCAUUUUCAGUUAAUUGUACCUUUUAAAACUUUCUGCUGUUUACAUCACUGUGACACGUGUAUCCUGAGUACAACUCUUACUAUUAACCCUUUUGAGGCUGGCAGUGGUUUCAGUUUCUUCGUGCUCUUUCGCCUAGUACCCAGAAAAUCUGAAUUAAAUAAAGAAUUCACAUUUGGAUCUUAUUUUAAGUACUCCUCGAAGUUUCAAUUCCCGUUGGAGAUUUUUUAAAGCCUGGAGCAGUGGAGGAGCUAAAAAGAGAAGAGAGGUCAGGUGAUUCAGAGCGCCAGGUGAAGUGUUUCAAUUAGGAAGAACGUGGGGACAGCACACACAGUAAAAGGAGACCAAGGGGGAAGUGGAGCCCGCUGGAAAUGAGUCAUAAAGGCACAGAAGUGAGCUGCUAAAUGUGUGCAUUUAUUUAAAAAGAUGAGAGAAUUUGAAAAUACAUGUCAAUGAAAGGAUGGCGGUAAGUGACUGACAUUCCGUUGCCGUGGUAGCCCAUAAGGAAAGCUGGGUGGAACAAUAAUCUCUUUUCAGAAGAAAAAUUAAACUCUAACGGCUCAGGUAAGGUUUCUGGUAUAAAAGAAAAUACUCUCGAAAGAUGCAUACUGGAGGGGGGACUAGAGGGGCUGUUGGCAAUGUUCUAUUUCUUCACCUGGUUGGUGCUCAAGUGUUCAUUUUGUGAUAACUCAUUGUGUAGCACAAUGAUAUUUUAGGCACUUUUCUUUAUGUGAGUGCUAUAUUUCAAUUAAAAAGAAAAUAUCUGACUCCUAGUUUAUUAAAUUCUGUUGUGUUUUUUGAACACAUCAGAGAUUACCUAAACCCAUUCAUCGUUUGUGUCUUUCUAAAGAGAUCUGGUGUUUUUCUUCUAGUUCAAAUCAAUUCAAGAAAUAUUUAUUGAGCGUCUGAAUGUGCCAGAUACAAAAGAUGAAGAUCUUCUUUCAAGAAGCUCACAGUCUGAUGGGGAGAUGACAUGUGGGGGAAUUAGAACAAUAGUCCAGGCGAACUCUGAUGGGCCAUUUCAGCUUCACAGCACCCCGCACAGAUGGCUGAGGCUGGCAGGCUUGCCUCACAGCUAGAUUUCUCCAUCUUCCCAAUCCUGCUUCCGCCCCCUCCCUUCCAUGGAUGUUGAUCUCAAGAGCACUCCCUAAUAAACAUCCUGAACACUAAACUUUGCCUGAGUCUGCUUCCUGGAGAACCCAACCUGCAUUACAACAUGAAAAGCUUAGAUGAGAU